Molecule: unclassified non-coding RNA, 307 nt
Filed under: uncultured fungus
Lineage: Eukaryota; Fungi
Description: partial contains small subunit ribosomal RNA, internal transcribed spacer 1, and 5.8S ribosomal RNA
Rfam family: Eukaryotic small subunit ribosomal RNA (bases 1-73)
Source: RNAcentral
GCAAACUUGGUCAUUUAGAGGAAGUAAAAGUCGUAACAAGGUUUCCGUAGGUGAACCUGCGGAAGGAUCAUUAACGAAAUGACAAGUCGGCGGAUUGUGCUGGUGCCCCCAAAGGCGCAUGUGCACGUCCGUCGCAAAUCCACACACCUGUGCACUUUAGACUCUGAGUGAGCAGUCUGUUUGGACUGCACCUCGGAGUAAUUUUACACACGCUUGCAUGUAAAAGGAUGUUGUCGUGCUCAGCACAAAAAAACAUACAACUUUCAACAACGGAUCUCUUGGCUCUCGCAUCGAUGAAGAACGCAGC